This 500-nucleotide long non-coding RNA is filed under the name Heterocephalus glaber (naked mole-rat). Its description in RNAcentral is "lncRNA (ENSHGLG00000041247.1)". The record is from RNAcentral. Lineage: Eukaryota; Metazoa; Chordata; Mammalia; Rodentia; Bathyergidae.
CCCAGGAGACCAUCAGUACUGGAAAUGAGGGCAUUGGGCUUCAACUGGAAAUGUUUCCCUUGGCACAGACCCAGGCUGGAAGAAUGGUGCCCGGUGAGAGGUCACGCUAUGAGGACAAACAUGCAAUUCCAAAGGCCUGCCAGCCACACCAAAGAGCUUCUCCCAAGGCAUGAACCAGGAGAGGAAGCUGCAGAGUGGGAGGAGAGUGAUGUUUUGAACCAGAAAACAAGAGUCAAAUGAGGCUAACAAUGCAUAAAGCUUGGGUACAGCAUAAAGUGUAUUUCCCCUUUGUUUAAUCACUAAUGAAAUGCUUCUGAACAUGGAAUACCUCAAAAAACAAGACAUAGAAUAUAAAAAAGGAGAAAGAGGAAAAUGAAAAGAAAGUGAAGAAUCCCUUAAUACUCUACAUAAGGAAAAAUAAAAAGUUGGCUGUUUGUACAUUUGCAAAAGCAUAAUGAUUAUGUGUCCUGAAGGAAUUUUACAGAACAUUUAAUAUAUGG